AUUGAACGCUGGCGGCAGGCCUAACACAUGCCAGUCGAGCGGAUGAAGGGAGCUUGCUCCUGGAUUCAGCGGCGGACGGGUGAGUAAUGCCUAGGAAUCUGCCUGGUAGUGGGGGAUAACGUCCGGAAACGGGCGCUAAUACCGCAUACGUCCUGAGGGAGAAAGUGGGGAUCUUCGGACCUCACGCUAUCAGAUGAGCCUAGGUCGGAUUAGCUAGUUGGUGGGGUAAAGGCCUACCAAGGCGACGAUCCGUAACUGGUCUGAGAGGAUGAUCAGUCACACUGGAACUGAGACACGGUCCAGACUCCUACGGGAGGCAGCAGUGGGGAAUAUUGGACAAUGGGCGAAAGCCUGAUCCAGCCAUGCCGCGUGUGUGAAGAAGGUCUUCGGAUUGUAAAGCACUUUAAGUUGGGAGGAAGGGCAGUAAGUUAAUACCUUGCUGUUUUGACGUUACCAACAGAAUAAGCACCGGCUAACUUCGUG
This 483-nucleotide ribosomal RNA is filed under the name uncultured bacterium. RNAcentral describes it as "partial 16S ribosomal RNA". It matches the Rfam family "Bacterial small subunit ribosomal RNA", at positions 30 to 507 of the family's 1533-position model. The record is from RNAcentral.